GGUAACAGAGAGAAGCUUGCUUUUCUGCUGACGACCGGCGCACGGGUGAGUAACGCGUAUACAAUCUGCCUUAUACAGAGGGAUAGCCUUUAGAAAUGAAGAUUAAUACCUUAUAGUCUAUUUUUAUAGCAUUAUAUAAAUAGUAAAGCUUCGGUGGUAUAAGAUGAGUAUGCGUCCUAUUAGUUAGUUGGUAAGGUAACGGCUUACCAAGACAACGAUAGGUAGGGGCCCUGAGAGGGGGAUCCCCCACACUGGUACUGAGACACGGACCAGACUCCUACGGGAGGCAGCAGUGAGGAAUAUUGGACAAUGGAGGCAACUCUGAUCCAGCCAUGCCGCGUGCAGGAAGACGGCCCUAUGGGUUGUAAACUGCUUUUAUAUAGGAAGAAACCUUUUCACGUGUGAGAAGCUGACGGUACUAUAAGAAU
Molecule: ribosomal RNA, 428 nt
Filed under: uncultured bacterium
Lineage: Bacteria
Description: bacterial SSU rRNA
Rfam family: Bacterial small subunit ribosomal RNA
Source: RNAcentral